Molecule: non-coding RNA, 724 nt
Organism: Cinara cedri
Lineage: Eukaryota; Metazoa; Arthropoda; Insecta; Hemiptera; Aphididae
Source: the annotation of a GenBank genome assembly
GGUUUAUAUAAAUAAGAAUGUUGUAUUAGUGAGUGGAAAAGGUUUAACGAAAUUGAAUAGUCUUUUAAUAAAAAUAAUUAAUAUAACUUUCUUUUUUUAAAUGGGUAACAAAUUAACAAAUAAAAUAUGAUGCUUAUAUUGUACUUAACNAAUUUGCCAUAGACUCUCUUUGACAACUUUGCUCUCACUUUUGUCUAUGUUAUUUCUUGCUAUUUUGGUCCUAGUGUCUUCUGCACACCUAUGAUUGAAGAGCCAACUUUUCACGUAAUCUUCAGGACUCCAAUCACUUAAAGGAGGUCCAUAUAUGUUAAUAAACAUUAAAUUAGAAAUAUUAUUUAUCUUUAACCAUAACGAAGAUCCGUAAAAAUGUUAUUCAUGACACUGAAUCCUCUUUCACAUUUUGCGGUUGAACAUGGAAACGUUUUAAGAAAGAUGUAGAAUGUAAACAUCACGUUUUUAGGAUCAAUAGUUUGAUCGUAAAUAAUUUUUCUCAUACCACUAAUAGAUUCAUCUUGGUCAAGUGAAAAUCUUUUACAUAAGUAUUUAAUAUCAUCUUCAUAUCGAAUAUCUGGGUCCUCGGGCCAAGUUCAUUUUUCCAACAAUAAAAUAUUUUUCAAAAUAAUUUUAUUUUUACAGUCAUUGUUAAGAAGUCUUGAUUUUAAGUUAUUUUCAAUGCUUGUCAAAAACUGAUUUUUAUUUAUGCUUAUCAUGUUUUUGUUUGAAG